UCUAAUAUGGCAGAAUAGUGCAUUGGAUUUAAACCCCAAUUAUAAAGAUUAAUCUUUUUUUAGAA
This 65-nucleotide transfer RNA is filed under the name Coccidophilus cariba. Its description in RNAcentral is "tRNA-Leu". It matches the Rfam family "tRNA". From Rfam's summary of the family: Transfer RNA (tRNA) molecules are approximately 80 nucleotides in length. Their secondary structure includes four short double-helical elements and three loops (D, anti-codon, and T loops). Lineage: Eukaryota; Metazoa; Arthropoda; Insecta; Coleoptera; Coccinellidae. The record is from RNAcentral.